AUCAGUUACCUGGUUAUAAGCAACUAUCUCUUAGAAUAUAUAUGAUCAGUUAGCUGUUUACACAAACCCUUCUUUUGUAUACGUAUUUAAUCAGUUAGAUGGCUUUAAGUGGCUUUCCUGUAGCCUACACGUAAGCCCCAUAAUUCACAAAUGAGCCAGGCUAAUACCAUAACUGGCGUAAGGCUUGGCGAGGCGGGCACCUUUGAGCAGCACGCGACUCACCAACGGGACGGAUCAGCUGACAAGUUUAUGGACCAUUUAGAGAUCAGGAUCAAGAGCUGCUCGGACAGCCAAGACAGUGACGUAAUGCCACACAGGUGGACUCAGGUGCUGCUAAUUGACUCACAGAGACUGAGGGAAGGAUGAGCAGAAGAGAUGAGAAGACGUGGAGAACAGAGAAAACAAAAACCUAAAGAAAACGAGAACAAACCUGAAGAGAAGGGAGAGACCUGAGGAAGAGGAAGCAAGACUCAGAGAAGAGACAGAGGAAGAGGAAAACAAACAAAAGGCCUGGAGACAAAACGAACAAUUGACAAGAGAAAAUAGAGGAUGGGAUGCCGGUUUGAAUUUACUGUCUGUCUGUCAUCUACACCUCCAUGGCUGGGCAGGGAAGACAGCACAGGUGAUGUUAACUGGUGGUGAUGAUGGAGAUUGCAGUGAUGGCAGUGUUGGUAAUGAAGAUUGCAGUGGUGAGGACGUGGUAAUGGUGACAGUGGUAGUGGUGACCUGCAAUGGAAGUGGUGAUGUAUGGUGCUCCCUACUCCACCACCACCACAGUCUUGUCUUUCUUUAUUCUGUAAAUGUGGAAGAGAUUAAUACACUAGUUACUGUUAGACACUAGUCACUAGUUACCUAUUGUAAUGUUAUCUGGGACUUGAAAUCUUUAACAGGUGGACAGAUAGUACUUAGUUAUUUUUUUCAUUAAUCAUGUUUCUGAAAAUGUACCUGGGAACUAAUAAUAAUAAUAAACAUUUGCUUAAUUACCAAUCAAUCUGAGGACAUCUUUACUUGUUCUGUAGCCACUUCUGAUCUUUAAACUGAGAAGAAACUGAGAAAUCUAUCCUUUUCAGUCCCCUUCUUUCUUGAUGUUUAUAAGGAUUUCAUGCAUUACUUCUGGUUCUGUUAAGUCUGUAUUGCAAUGAAAGGGUUAAUAUCUAUUGUAAUAUCACCUGGGGUUUCAAGGUGGACAGGUGAACAGACACACACACACACACACAAUGUUCUAUUCUCACUAUUCUCAUUAGUUAGUAAAAAUGUACCAGAGAAUUAAUAAAAACACCUCAUUA
Molecule: long non-coding RNA, 1286 nt
Organism: Scylla paramamosain (green mud crab)
Lineage: Eukaryota; Metazoa; Arthropoda; Malacostraca; Decapoda; Portunidae
Exons: 3
Source: RefSeq, a predicted model, not a curated record